AUUGAACGCUGGCGGCAUGCUUUACACAUGCAAGUCGAACGGCAGCGCGGGCUUCGGCCCGGCGGCGAGUGGCGAACGGGUGAGUAAUACCUCGGAAAGUGCCCAGUAUUGGGGGAUAGCUCGGCGAAAGCCGGAUUAAUACCGCAUACGACCUGAGGGUGAAAGCGGGGGAUCUUCGGACCUCGCGCUAUUGUAGCGGCCGAUGGCAGAUUAGCUAGUUGGUGGGGUAAAGGCCUACCAAGGCGACGAUCUGUAGCUGGUCUGAGAGGAAGACCAGCCACACGGGGACUGAGACACGGCCCAGACUCCUACGGGAGGCAGCAGUGGGGAAUUUUGGACAAUGGGCGAAAGCCUGAUCCAGCAAUGCCGCGUGUGUGAUGAAGGCCUUCGGGUUGUAAAGCACUUUUGGCGGGAACGAAAAGGACUGUGCCAAUACCACGGUUCGAUGACGGUACCCGCAGAAUAAGCACCGGCUAACUACGUG
RNAcentral lists this ribosomal RNA (484 nucleotides) under uncultured bacterium. RNAcentral describes it as "partial 16S ribosomal RNA". It matches the Rfam family "Bacterial small subunit ribosomal RNA", at positions 29 to 507 of the family's 1533-position model. The record is from RNAcentral.